CAAAUUAAAAAUGGCUCGCGCACAAAAUUUAAAAGCUGCAAUCAUAUUUUGAGUUAACGGAUGGAAAAUUUGUCGGGAUUUUAAUUACUGUGCACAAUUUCAGACAAUUUGGUUUAGUUUAAGCCCUUAACUAUUCACGCAAAGUUACAAUUUUCCCGAAAAAUCAGCUAUUUGCAUGCUUAAUUAAUGCAUUUGCCUAAUUUGCAUAUGUCAGGAAUAUGCAAAUUAGGUAAAGGCAUUAAUUAAGCAUGCGAAAGGCUGACUUUUUAGAACAAAAUGAAU
This 282-nucleotide long non-coding RNA is filed under the name Paramuricea clavata. The record is from RNAcentral. Lineage: Eukaryota; Metazoa; Cnidaria; Anthozoa; Malacalcyonacea; Plexauridae.